RNAcentral lists this long non-coding RNA (332 nucleotides) under Marmota monax (woodchuck). Lineage: Eukaryota; Metazoa; Chordata; Mammalia; Rodentia; Sciuridae. The record is from RNAcentral.
GUAAAGGUGACAGUGUUUACCAGAGAGCCCUUCCCUGGGACAGAGGCCUGACCAACCAAGCAGUUAGCUUCCCAGCAACGCCCCGGGUCUGAAGGGAGGCCAGCUCUCUGCACUCAUUUGGGUGGCUUGUUUAUUUCCACACGUUCCUGGUUUAGUUAUCAUCACCACCUUUUGAUCGUCUCUUAAUGGGCACCGUAGAAGACACCUGUCCAUCUUACCAAGAAUAUUCACCAAAGGCCACGGAGCCAGCCUCGGCCAAGGUGAACCACUGGUAGAGCCAGUCCUACUCUCCAGCCACCCACCAUGUCUGUGAGUAAAAUGAACAGCCAAUA